This 1036-nucleotide ribosomal RNA is filed under the name uncultured bacterium. RNAcentral's name for it is "bacterial SSU rRNA". It matches the Rfam family "Archaeal small subunit ribosomal RNA", at positions 322 to 1354 of the family's 1478-position model. The record is from RNAcentral.
CCUACGGGGGGCAGCAGGCGCGAAACCUUCGCACUGCGCGAAAGCGCGACGAGGGGAGACCGAGUGCCUCUCCUUUUUUGGGGAGGCUUUUCACAAGCCUAAAAAGCUUGUGGAAUAAGGGCUGGGCAAGACGGGUGCCAGCCGCCGCGGUAAUACCCGCAGCUCAAGUGGUGGUCGCUUUUAUUGAGCCUAAAACGUUCGUAGUCGGCUUUGUAAAUCCUUGGGUAAAUCGGGCCGCUCAACGGUUCGAAUUCUGAGGAGACUGCAAAGCUAGGGACCGGGCGAGGUCAGAGGUACUUUCGGGGUAGGAGCGAAAUCCUGUAAUCCCGAAGGGACCACCUGUGGCGAAAGCGUCUGACUUGAACGGCUCCGACGAUGAGGAACGAAGGCUAGGGGAGCAAACCGGAUUAGAUACCCGGGUAGUCCUAGCUGUAAACUCUGCCCGCUUGGUGUGGCCUGUUCUUCGGGAGCAGGCUGUGCCGGAGCGAAGGUGUUAAGCGGGCUGCUUGGGGAGUACGGCCGCAAGGUUGAAACUUAAAGGAAUUGGCGGGGGAGCACCGCAACGGGAGGAUGCGUGCGGUUUAAUUGGAUUCAACGCCGGAAAACUCACCUGAGGCGACCAGCGUAUGUGUGUCAGGCUGAAGACCUUACUCGAACAAAAGCUGGAGAGGUGGUGCAUGGCCAUCGUCAGCUCGUACCGUAGGGCAUUCACUUAAGUGUGAUAACGAGCGAGACCCCCAUCCCUAGUUGCCAACUUUUCCGAAGGGAAAGGUGCACUCUAGGGAGACCGCUUCUGCUAAAGAAGAGGAAGGAGGGGUCGACGGUAGGUCAGUAUGCCCCGAAUCCUCAGGGCUACACGCGCGCUACAAAGGACAGGACAAUGGGUUCCAACCCCGAAAGGGGAAGGUAAUCCCAAAACCUGUUCGUAGUCCGGAUUGAGGGCUGUAACUCGCCCUCAUGAAGAUGGAUUCCGUAGUAAUCGCGGAUCAACAGUCCGCGGUGAAUAUGCCCCUGCUCCUUGCACACACCGCCCGUC